UACGGAGGGUGCGAGCGUUGUCCGGAAUCACUGGGCGUAAAGGGCGCGUAGGCGGCCGUGUAAGUCACUUGUGAAAUCCCGGGGCUCAACUCCGGGGCUGCAGGUGAGACUGCGUGGCUAGAGCACGGUAGAGGCGAGUGGAAUUCCCGGUGUAGCGGUGGAAUGCGUAGAUAUCGGGAGGAACAUCAGUGGCGAAAGCGACUUCCUGGACCAGUACCGACGUUCAGGCACGAAAGCCAGGGGAGCAAACGGG
This 253-nucleotide ribosomal RNA is filed under the name uncultured bacterium. RNAcentral's name for it is "partial 16S ribosomal RNA". It matches the Rfam family "Bacterial small subunit ribosomal RNA", at positions 524 to 776 of the family's 1533-position model. The record is from RNAcentral.